GACGAACGCUGGCGGCGUGCUUAACACAUGCAAGUCGAACGGAAAGGCACUGCUUUUGUGGGGUGCUCGAGUGGCGAACGGGUGAGUAACACGUGAGUAGCCUGCCCUUGACUUUGGGAUAACUUCAGGAAACUGGGGCUAAUACCGGAUAGGAGCUCCUGCUGCAUGGUGGGGGUUGGAAAGUUUCGGCGGUUGGGGAUGGACUCGCGGCUUAUCAGCUUGUUGGUGGGGUAGUGGCUUACCAAGGCUUUGACGGGUAGCCGGCCUGAGAGGGUGACCGGCCACAUUGGGACUGAGAUACGGCCCAGACUCCUACGGGAGGCAGCAGUGGGGAAUAUUGCACAAUGGGCGGAAGCCUGAUGCAGCAACGCCGCGUGCGGGAUGACGGCCUUCGGGUUGUAAACCGCUUUCGCCUGUGACGAAGCGUGAGUGACGGUAAUGGGUAAAGAAGCACCGGCUAACUACGUGCCAGCAGCCGCGGUGAUACGUAGGGUGCGAGCGUUGUCCGGAUUUAUUGGGCGUAAAGGGCUCGUAGGUGGUUGAUCGCGUCGGAAGUGUAAUCUUGGGGCUUAACCCUGAGCGUGCUUUCGAUACGGGUUGACUUGAGGAAGGUAGGGGAGAAUGGAAUUCCUGGUGGAGCGGUGGAAUGCGCAGAUAUCAGGAGGAACACCAGUGGCGAAGGCGGUUCUCUGGGCCUUUCCUGACGCUGAGGAGCGAAAGCGUGGGGAGCGAACAGGCUUAGAUACCCUGGUAGUCCACGCUGUAAACGGUGGGUACUAGGUGUGGGGUCCAUUCCACGGGUUCCGUGCCGUAGCUAACGCUUUAAGUACCCCGCCUGGGGAGUACGGCCGCAAGGCUAAAACUCAAAGGAAUUGACGGGGCCCCGCACAAGCGGCGGAGCAUGCGGAUUAAUUCGAUGCAACGCGUAGAACCUUACCUGGGUUUGACAUGGAUCGGGAGUGCUCAGAGAUGGGUGUGCCUCUUUUGGGGUCGGUUCACAGGUGGUGCAUGCCUGUCGUCAGCUCGUGUCGUGAGAUGUUGGGUUAAGUCCCGCAACGAGCGCAACCCUUGUUCACUGUUGCCAGCACGUUAUGGUGGGGACUCAGUGUAGACCGCCGGGGUCAACUCGGAGGAAGGUGGGGAUGACGUCAAGUCAUCAUGCCCCUUAUGUCCAGGGCUUCACGCAUGCUACAAUGGCUGGUACAGAGAGUGGCGAGCCUGUGAGGGUGAGCGAAUCUCGGAAAGCCGGUCUCAGUUCGGAUUGGGGUCUGCAACUCGACCUCAUGAAGUCGGAGUCGCUAGUAAUCGCAGAUCAGCAACGCUGCGGUGAAUACGUUCCCGGGGGU
Molecule: ribosomal RNA, 1346 nt
Filed under: uncultured bacterium
Lineage: Bacteria
Description: partial 16S ribosomal RNA
Rfam family: Bacterial small subunit ribosomal RNA
Source: RNAcentral